ACCUUGAAAACAUUAUACUAAUUGAAAUGAGCCAGUCACACAAAGACAAAUCGUGUAUGAUUUCUCUUACAUUAGGUUCGAAAUUAGUCAAACUUAUAGAAACAGAAAAUAGAACGGUCGUUUCCGGAAGCCAGGGGAGAGAGAAAUGGAGUUGUUGGAUAGUGGGUAUAGUUUCAGAUCUCCAAGAGGAGCAAGUUCUAGAAACUCAUUACUCAACAGCAUGUAUACACUUAACACUACUGCACUGUAUACCUACAAAUGGUUAAUACGGUAAAUUUUAUGUUGUGCGUUAUCACCAUAAUAUUUACAAAAUAAGGGGCUUGUGUUUCCCUUCGUUGUGAUCUCCCAUUUUUCACUUCAGCAUUUUGAACUUUAGGUUUCCUGUAGCUAUUUUACUGAGCCCUGGAGUUACCGGCUGAGAAUGUCUCCACCACCUUGUAACCUUGUAGGCAGACACUUCUCAGCAUCUUAUUGGGCUCCUUGUGCUUGACGCUUAAAGUGACAUGGAGACAUGCCACUUGCUGAGAGGCCAAGCAAGGCAAAAUGUGACUGCCUUCCUGGCAUCGAUGAAGGCAGAGAGAAGGGAUCUUGGAGGCACAGAUGUUAAGGCAUAAACAAUAACAAGGGUUGCCAGCAAAAGAACUAAUCCCUCUCCUGGUAACAUUUGCAGGUGUUUUUCACACGGCCAGUGGAUUUCAUAAUGUGAGCGCUGUCCAGCACCAAAGGGAAUGGCCAACAGGCAUGGAGCAGCCUGCAGCGUCCAGCACCCAGGAGGACGGCCAGCAGGUAGGGAGCAGCCUUCAGCGUCCAGCACCCAGGAGGACGGCCAGCAGGUAGGGAGCAGCCUUCAGCGUCCAGCACCCAGGAGGAUGGGCAGCAGGCACGGAGCAGCCUUCAGCGUCCAGCACCCAGGGGGAUGGCCAGCAGGUAGGGAGCAGCCUUCAGCGUCCAGCACCCAGGAGGAUGGCCAGCAGGCACGGAGCAGCCUGCCUGUCCCAGGAAAGCAGGAGUCACAGGACACAGCUGGACCCAGGUAGGCAUGUAUAUUAGUUUUCUGUGGCUGUUAGAGCAAAUUACCAAAACUUUGGUGACUCAAAACAACAGAAAUUUAUUUUCUCACAGUUGUGGAUACCAGAAGUCCAAAAUCAGUAUCACUGGGCUGAAAUCUAGGUAUCGGCAGAGCCAGUGCUCUCAGAGGCUAAGGAGAAAAAUGCAUCCUGGCCGGGCGCGGUGGCUCAAGCCUGUAAUCCCAGCACUUUGGGAGGCCGAGACGGGCGGAUCACGAGGUCAAGAGAUCGAGACCAUCCUGGCGAACAUGGUGAAACCCCGUCUCUACUAAAAAAAAUACAAAAAACUAGCCGGGCGAGGCGGCGGGCGCCUGUAGUCCUAGCUACUCGGGAAGCUGAGGCAGGAGAAUGGCGUAAAUCCGGGGGGCGGAGCUUGCAGUGAGCUGAGAUCCGGCCACUGCACUCUAGCCCGGGCGACAGAGCCAGACUCCGUCUCAAAAAAAAAAAAAAAAAAAAAAA
Molecule: long non-coding RNA, 1526 nt
Filed under: Macaca mulatta (Rhesus monkey)
Lineage: Eukaryota; Metazoa; Chordata; Mammalia; Primates; Cercopithecidae
Description: lncRNA (ENSMMUG00000059125.1)
Source: RNAcentral